This 431-nucleotide ribosomal RNA is filed under the name uncultured bacterium. Its description in RNAcentral is "bacterial SSU rRNA". It matches the Rfam family "Bacterial small subunit ribosomal RNA", at positions 29 to 507 of the family's 1533-position model. The record is from RNAcentral.
AACGAACGCUGGCGGCAGGCCUAACGCAUGCAAGUCGAACGCCCCGCAAGGGGAGUGGCAGACGGGUGAGUAACACGUGGGAACCUUCCCAACAGUACGGAAUAGCCCAGGGAAACUUGGAGUAAUACCGUAUAUUCCCGAGAGGGGAAAGAUUUAUCGCUGUUGGAUGGGCCCGCGUCGGAUUAGCUAGUUGGUGAGGUAACGGCUCACCAAGGCGACGAUCCGUAGCUGGUUUGAGAGAAUGACCAGCCACACUGGGACUGAGACACGGCCCAGACUCCUACGGGAGGCAGCAGUGGGGAAUCUUGGACAAUGGGCGCAAGCCUGAUCCAGCCAUGCCGCGUGAGUGACGAAGGCCUUAGGGUUGUAAAGCUCUUUUACCGGGGACGAUAAUGACGGUACCCGGAGAAUAAGUCCCGGCUAACUUCGUG